This 401-nucleotide long non-coding RNA is filed under the name Coturnix japonica (Japanese quail). RNAcentral describes it as "lncRNA (ENSCJPG00005008592.1)". Lineage: Eukaryota; Metazoa; Chordata; Aves; Galliformes; Phasianidae. The record is from RNAcentral.
GUUGUGACACAUUCAUUCUGCAGUGCAGCAAACAAUGAGACGAUGAUUGUGUUUAUUUUUGCUCCUGGACAAGUAGCAUCCCAUUCAGGCAAUGGGUUUGAAGCACGGCCUCCACAAGGAUCAGCCGGCACGGUUCAACUUGGCCCGAACUCACCAUGAUCUGCUGAAAUACGGCUUUGAUUUAAUAGCUUUUGUUGAAGAUGUAGUUCAUCUCCAUAUCAAAGAUGGUAGCAUCCAGCAAUUUACCUGUCAACCUCUUCUCGAUACACAAGCAAUUUUUCAUAUAAAAGAGGAACUUACUGGAGCAGUGGUCUAUCAUUAUGCAGUGCUGGGAAGGAGGAGAAUCUGCACAGCUCUGAAGCCCUCCAGCAGAGGAACAGACAAAAAGGCUUCAUGCCCUG